CAGCAGCCGCGGUAAUACAGAGGGUGCAAGCGUUAAUCGGAAUUACUGGGCGUAAAGUGCGCGUAGGUGGUUUGUUAAGUUGGAUGUGAAAUCCCCGGGCUCAACCUGGGAACUGCAUCCAAAACUGGCAAGCUAGAGUAUGGUAGAGGGUGGUGGAAUUUCCUGUGUAGCGGUGAAAUGCGUAGAUAUAGGAAGGAACACCAGUGGCGAAGGCGACCACCUGGACUGAUACUGACACUGAGGUGCGAAAGCGUGGGGAGCAAACAGGAUUAGAUACCCCUGUAGUCCCUGUCUCUUAUAA
RNAcentral lists this ribosomal RNA (301 nucleotides) under uncultured bacterium. RNAcentral describes it as "partial 16S ribosomal RNA". It matches the Rfam family "Bacterial small subunit ribosomal RNA", at positions 509 to 809 of the family's 1533-position model. The record is from RNAcentral.